RNAcentral lists this ribosomal RNA (1315 nucleotides) under Pycnomerus sp. DDM0895. RNAcentral's name for it is "eukaryotic LSU rRNA". It matches the Rfam family "Eukaryotic large subunit ribosomal RNA", at positions 70 to 1119 of the family's 3401-position model. The record is from RNAcentral. Lineage: Eukaryota; Metazoa; Arthropoda; Insecta; Coleoptera; Zopheridae.
UAGGAUUCCCCUAGUAGCGGCGAGCGAACAGGGAAGAGCCCAGCACCGAAUCCCGCGGCCGACACCGGCCGCCGGGAAAUGUGGUGUUAGGGAGGAUCCGUCAUCCCGAGAUUUUGCAGUGCGUCCAAGUCCUUCUUGAACGGGGCCACAGCCCAUAGAGGGUGCCAGGCCCGUAGUGACCACUGCGGAUAACGGGAGGAUCUCUCCUUAGAGUCGGGUUGCUUGAGAGUGCAGCCCUAAGUGGGUGGUAAACUCCAUCUAAGGCUAAAUAUAACCACGAGACCGAUAGCGAACAAGUACCGUGAGGGAAAGUUGAAAAGAACUUUGAAGAGAGAGUUCAAUAGUACGUGAAACCGUUCAGGGGUAAACCUGAGAAACCCGAAAGUUCGAAAGGGGAGAUUCAGCGUGGCCCGACGUAGGCACGGAGGGGUCGUGUGACGGAUUGUGUCCGCACAGUCCGCGCUUUCCGCUCCGUGAGCCAACGCCGAACGCGUGCACUUCUCCUCUAGUAGGACGUCGCGAUCCGUUGGGUGUCGGUUUAAGGCCCGUGGUGGUGUCCUUGCUGUAUGGCUUGCCAUCCUGUAAGAACCCACGGUGUUUCCCGACCGACGUGCCCGACGGUAGACAUGAGGCGUGGGGCCGCCGAUCAUUAGGCGUCCGAAACGUGACAAGCUCCCUCGUGCGGUUGGUGAUCGGACCUGGUGCCGGUCCCGACCCCGAGAGGUUGUUGGUCGCGUAUAUCUCGGACAGACUCCGUUGAAACGCCGAUCAGCGACGCUAUAGUUUUGGGUACUUUCAGGGCCCGUCUUGAAACACGGACCAAGGAGUCUAGCAUGUGCGCAAGUCAUUAGGAUAUCACUAAACCUAAAGGCGCAAUGAAAGUAAAGGUCCGCCUCGUGCGAGCCUAGGGAGGAUGGGUGGAUUAUUAAAGCCAUCCCGCACUCCCGGGGCGUCUCAUUCUCAUUGCGAGAAGAGGCGCACCAAGAGCGUACACGCUGGGACCCGAAAGAUGGUGAACUAUGCCUGGUCAGGACGAAGUCAGGGGAAACCCUGAUGGAGGUCCGUAGCGAUUCUGACGUGCAAAUCGAUCGUCGGAACUGGGUAUAGGGGCGAAAGACUAAUCGAACCAUCUAGUAGCUGGUUCCCUCCGAAGUUUCCCUCAGGAUAGCUGGCGCUCAUAGAGCACGAGUUUCAUCCGGUAAAGCGAAUGAUUAGAGGCAUUGGGGUCGAAACGGCCUCAACCUAUUCUCAAACUUUAAAUGGGUGAGAUCUCCGGCUUGCUCGAACGCAUGAAGCCGCGAGACUCGAAUCAGAG